Molecule: long non-coding RNA, 1207 nt
Filed under: Gossypium barbadense (sea-island cotton)
Lineage: Eukaryota; Viridiplantae; Streptophyta; Magnoliopsida; Malvales; Malvaceae
Description: long non-coding RNA (GBAR_LNC014103)
Source: RNAcentral
CCACUAAUUUCUACAAACAAGCGACGUCUUGAUGCAAACGCCACUAAUUUCUGAAGAAUACAACAGUGUUUUGGAACAAACACCAUUAUUGAUGGAAAAUACGACAUUUUAGAAUUCGUCUGCCACAAAACCUAAGGCGCCAAUAUUUUACAUUUCUGCGAUGUGCAAAUAGAGCUAUCGUGGCAUUCCCUCCAGCGGAUGCUGCUAAUGGUUAAGCUGGGCAGCAUUUUCUGCAGCAAACGUCGGCGACCUUUGCUGCCAUAUGUACAUUAUGUUGCAGUGAUUAUUAUUAUGAUAAACAUACAAGAGUAAUUGAAAUUAAGAGAAUGAACUCACCAUCAUUAUCAAGAUGAUUUGUCUUAAUUGUGUAAUGUGAAAAUUUGUGCCAUUAAUUUAAUUACUUGUACAAAUAAUCUUUAAACUCUACACUGGAGAUCAACAAUAAAAAAUUUAACUAUUUUGUAGAUACAUCUAUCAAAACUAUGAAAUACUUAAAUGAUCCACAUGGUGGAUGAAUAUGUCCACAUAUAUCCCCUUGAGUGUGUUCUAAAAAAGUAGGGGAUUCGAUAUCAACUUUGUAAUACCCGAUUUUGGCCCGAGUCUAAAAGGCCCAAACUACAACAGGCCUAUAUGGCCCAAACCCGAAAUACAGAGGCCCAAAAUACCAACCCAGUGGCCCAAAACAAUGUCAGAAACCCCUAAGGUUUCUGGGGUAAACUUUUGCGCCGCAUCCAAGCCCCUGCAUGAGCCGCACGCUUUCACUUGCAAGAAAUAAACACAAAGAAGGAAACAAAAUCAAAGAUCAAGAAGAUAUCAAACAUGAUUUGUUUCUUUAUUUUUUUUAUUAUUACUAUGGCUAUAAAAAGGCCAUUAAUAUAUUGGAAAGGGAUUAUUUUUUAUUUUGGAAAUCAAUAAAAAAAUGAGUAUUUUCACAAUAUCAAGCAGAGAAAAACAAAAUAGAGAUUAAAGGUAGUGAUUUGUUUUCUUUUUCUUUUUUUUCGAUUUAUUUAUUUGUUAUACGGAAAGUAAAAAGAAAGAAAAAGGAAAAUACCUGGAGACGCUUUUAAAUCUGCGCGAAAAGAGCCAAAAAGCCUCUUUGGGGUGCGGCUCCAACCACCUUUCACGGUGGGAUCGUGGCAGAGGCGCGGCGGCAUAAAAGCUAGGGCCGAAACCCUAGCAGAGGAAUAUCAAGUUUUUUUUUAUUUUU